AGAGUUUGAUCAUGGCUCAGGAUGAACGCUGGCGGUAUGCCUAACACAUGCAAGUCGAACGGAACCUUCGGGUUUAGUGGCGGACGGGUGAGUAACGCGUGAGAAUCUGCCUUCAGGAUGGGGACAACAAUUGGAAACGAUUGCUAAUACCCGAUAUGCAGCGAUGUGAAAGAUUUAUCGCCUGGAGAUGAGCUCGCGUCAGAUUAGCUAGAUGGUGUGGUAAUGGCGCACCAUGGCGACGAUCUGUAGCUGGUCUGAGAGGAUGAGCAGCCCACACUGGGACUGAGACACGGCCCAGACUCCUACGGGAGGCAGCAGUGGGGGAUUUUCCGCAAUGGGCGCAAGCCUGACGGAGCAAUACCGCGUGAGGGAGGAAGGCUCUUGGGUCGUAAACCUCUUUUCUCAGGGAAGAACAAAAUGACGGUACCUGAGGAAUAAGCAUCGGUUAACUCUGUGCCAGCAGCC
Molecule: ribosomal RNA, 465 nt
Filed under: uncultured cyanobacterium
Lineage: Bacteria; Bacillati; Cyanobacteriota
Description: bacterial SSU rRNA
Rfam family: Bacterial small subunit ribosomal RNA
Source: RNAcentral